Oreochromis aureus is the source of this 283-nucleotide long non-coding RNA. NCBI's taxonomy places the organism in Eukaryota, Metazoa, Chordata, Actinopteri, Cichliformes, Cichlidae. The record is from Ensembl.
GAGAACAACGAUGGCUUCGUUUUGAGGGUAAAAUGAUGGCUGUAGAGCAAACACUGUGGACACAGCAGCAGUUGAAAGAGAAGUGUUUAAGAUGAAUAUUGGCAGAGUGAGAGAGAGCUCGUUAGGCAGGCAGGCAGGUGUGAGCCUGGUUGCUAUAGUGACUGCACCCACUGGCUCCAUACACACGCGCACAGACAUGCACCUCACUUUUGCUGCUUAAAAUGAACAGAAAAGUCAGGUCGAAACAAAUCGCUCCCAAAUGAAAAGUACAGGUCCUAUUGAC